AAAAGAGACCGACACAUGGUGGACUUUUCCGACGCAUGGUGGACUUUUCCCGGAGUACCGAUGUGGUGAUGCUUGACUGACAAAGACUGGGGGAAACGGUGUUUUAUGUCCUGCCGCGAUGUGUAUAUGUGAACUAGCUCAGCUAGCUCAAAGAUUUCUAUGUGCUGCCUUUCUGAUAUGUUUGCUGCCAUCAUGUCAGUGAAACAGGAUCACAGCUGAAGAAGAGGCUACAAGAGGUUUCCCGACUCAUUUCACGCACACACAUCAACCACAGCAUUAAAACCACCUGCUUAACUUUGUGUAGAUCCACCUGGUGCCAUCAAAACAGCUCUGGAGUGUCGGUGCGUGAACAUGGGACCUCUGUGGGCAUCCUGUGGUGUCUGAUGAUGAGAUAACAGGCUUGUUCUGGUGCAUUCUGUGGAUGCUCAAUCAGAUCUAAGUCGAAGGAGUUUGAAGGGAAGGCUCAUGUCUUUGUCAUGUUCUUCAAUCUAUUCAUCUUUAGGAAGAUGGUACAAGCAAGAGUACAGCUGCAUGCCUGUCCAGCACAUUCAUCCUCCCCACCUCAAUGUUCUUGCCUUGAGUACAAUCUCCAGAGCUGAAUUUGGAUUGGACCAGGCCAAACUACCGCCUCCAAUCACGGUGUCAGGUGGAGUUCAAAAGGCUUACUCAUGCAGCGGUUGGCGGCAGUUUUUAUUCGGAGAGAUUGAGCGGCCUGGUGUAUUUUGUGAACAUUUGUGUUUGUGGUUGGGGUGCGUGUGGGGGUAAUAGCAAGCCAGGGAUCUCUGACUUGAGAAGAAACACUACUAGAGAAUUCUUUGUUAGUUUUCAGAUAGGGAUGUUGCAGCUGUGUUUUUGGUUUAGAGUUUUCUUUGUUUUGGUUGUCUUUUGUUUCUUUCAGUGUUUGUAAUAUCAGCUUCUGAGCAAAGUUUGCUUUCUGUUUUGUUUAUCUUGUUUUGCUUCCAUAGCACUCAUUUGCUUUGAACCCCCUCACUUUCUGUUGUUAUGCCCAUACCCCCUUUCACAACAACAAAAAAAAAACACUUAGAGAGCGCAGUACUCCGCCAAGGCAGCUCAGCUGUCUCAUUUCCUACAGCUGAAAUCUGGAAUAAAAAAUCAUGGUAAAAAUCAUGGCACCAUAGAAUGUGAUCAUUUAAUAUAGAUGUACCCACAAACAAAAUGACGUUGUGUUGAGCACAGGCUUGUGUUAUGCAUGUGUACAUUAUGUACGGAUACCGAAUUGCGUGACCUAAAUAUGCAGAGGGCGGUGGGAAUUGAUGGGACUUGGAAACACCCCCACAAUUUAAUCAGUUGUUCCUUGUAUGAUUUCCAACAGAUAAGUCCCGAUAAGUCUGCAACGGUGGAUUUGUAGUAGGAUCACAAUCAUGUGAUCGUCAGCAGGCAGCUAAUGUGAUGUUCUCUUGUUGUCAUAGUUACAGUGAUGCUGUGCCGCUAUCUCGCAAUGAUACAGAAAUCUUUAACAAAUCUGUGGAUCCAGACUACAAGCCACGUCACUGCCAAAAUUGAAUCAGUUGGUCCUUGUGUCAUUUCUGACCUUCCCUGAAAAUUUUAUCCAAAUCCAUUAAUUUUUGAGUAAUGCAAACAGACAGACACCUAUCAUACACUCUGGAACUCAGUGUUUGUGUUACUUUCUUUUUGUUACUCUGUGGUUACUCUAAACAGCUGGGAUAUAAACCUCACAUGUUUUUAGCUUUAAUGCUGUGGCUGACUGAUGUAUAUUCGUCUGUCAUAAUCUGGUCUUUUGUCUAAA
Amphiprion ocellaris (clown anemonefish) is the source of this 1768-nucleotide long non-coding RNA. The record is from Ensembl. NCBI's taxonomy places the organism in Eukaryota, Metazoa, Chordata, Actinopteri, Pomacentridae.